This 274-nucleotide ribosomal RNA is filed under the name uncultured bacterium. RNAcentral's name for it is "partial 16S ribosomal RNA". It matches the Rfam family "Bacterial small subunit ribosomal RNA", at positions 523 to 796 of the family's 1533-position model. The record is from RNAcentral.
AUACGGAGGGGACUAGCGUUGUUCGGAAUUACUGGGCGUAAAGCGUACGUAGGCGGAUCAGAAAGUAUGGGGUGAAAUCCCAGGGCUCAACCCUGGAACUGCCUCAUAAACUCCUGGUCUUGAGUUCGAGAGAGGUGAGUGGAAUUCCGAGUGUAGAGGUGAAAUUCGUAGAUAUUCGGAGGAACACCAGUGGCGAAGGCGGCUCACUGGCUCGAUACUGACGCUGAGGUACGAAAGUGUGGGGAGCAAACAGGAUUAGAAACCCCUGUAGUCC